This 408-nucleotide ribosomal RNA is filed under the name uncultured bacterium. RNAcentral describes it as "partial 16S ribosomal RNA". It matches the Rfam family "Bacterial small subunit ribosomal RNA", at positions 28 to 526 of the family's 1533-position model. The record is from RNAcentral.
GACGAACGCUGGCGGCGUGCUUAACACAUGCAAGUCGAACGAAGUGGCGAACGGGUGAGUAACGCGUAAUCAACCUGCCCUUCAGAGGGGGACAACAGUUGGAACCGACCGCUAAUACCGCAUACUGAAGGAGGAGUUGGCGUCUGAUUAGCUAGUUGGAGGGGGAACGGCCCACCAAGGCGAUGAACAGUAGGCGGUCUGAGAGGGGGGACGGCCACAUUGGGACUGGGGACCGGCCCAGACUCCCACGGGGUGCAGCAGUUGGGAAUCUUUCGCAAUGGACGGAAGUCUGGCGGAACAACCGCGCGGGAGUGGUGACGGCCUUCGGGUUGGAAAGCCCUGUUAAUCGGGAAGCGGUACCUGAAUAGAAAGCCAUGGCUAACUACGUGCCAGCAGCCGCGGUAAUAC